AAAAAUGUAGUAAAAUAUACUCAGUACAAGGGAAAUAUGUAAAUUUACAUUUGUAUAGAAAGUAUUUCAAGAUAUACCAGGACAGAAGCCUUCCCUUCAUCCCCAGUCUCACUUCCUAUAGUCUCACCUGCAAGGCCCUGAUGAGAUUGUCCACUCCUAUCUGCACAUGCCAUGAACAUUGUCAGGCCUCUGAGCCCAAGCCAAGCCAUCACAUCCCCUGUGACUUGCACGUAUAUGCCCAGAUGGCCUGAAGUAACUGAAGAAUCACAAAAGAAGUGAAUAUGCCCUGCCCCACCUUAACUGAUGACAUUCCACUACAAAAGAAGUGUAAAUGGCCGGUCCUUGCCUUAAGUGAUGACAUUACCUUGUGAAAGUCCUUUUCCUGGGUCAUCCUGGCUCAAAAAGCACCCCCACUGAGCACCUUGCGACCCCCACUCCUGCCCGCCAGAGAACAAACCCCCUUUGACUGUAAUUUUCCUUUACCUACCCAAAUCCUAUAAAAUGGCCCCACCCUUAUCUCCCUUUGCUGACUCUCUUUUGGACUCAGCCCGCCUGCACCCAGGUGAAAUAAACAGCCAUGUUGCUCACACAAAGCCUGUUUGGUGGUCUCUUCACACGGACGCACAUGAAAUUUGGUGCCGUGACUCUGAUCAGGGGACCUCCCUUGGGAGAUCAAUCCCCUGUACUCGUGUUCUUCGCUCCAUUAGAAAGAUCCACCUAUGACCUCAAGUCCUCAGACCGACCAGCCCAAGGAACAUCUCACCAAUUUUAAAUCAGGCAAGUGGCCUCUUCUUACUCUCUUCUCCAACCUCUCUCACUGUCCCUCAACCACUUUCUCCUUUCCACUCUUCAAUCUCUCCCUUCUCUUAAUUUCAAUUCCUUUCAUUUUCUGGGAGAGACAAAGGAGACACAUUUUAUCCGUGGACCCAAAACUCCGGCGCCGGUCAUGGACUGGGAAGGCAGGCUUCCCUUGGUGUUUAAUCAUUGCAGGGACGCCUCUCUGAUUAUACACCCACGUUUCAAGGGUGUCAGACCACACAGGGAUGCCUGCCUUGGUCCUUCACCCUUAGCGGCAAGUCCCGCUUUUCUGGGGAAGGGGCAAGUACCCCAACCCCUUCUCUCCUUGUCUCUAACCCUUCUCUGCUUUUCUGGGAGAGGGGCAAGUACCCCUCAACCGCUUCUCCUUCACCCUUAGCGGCAAGUCCCACUUUUCUAUGGGGCAAGAACCCCCAAUCCCUUAUUUCCACACCCCAGCCUCUUAUCUCUGUACCCCAAUCCCUUAUUUCCGCACCCCAACCUCUUAUCUCUGCCCCAAUCCCUUAUUUCCACACCCCGACCUCUUAUCUCUGCACCCCAAUCCCUUAUUUCCUCACCCCGACCUCUUAUCUCUGCACCCCAAUCCCUUAUUUCCGUGCCCCAACCUCUUAUAUCUCUGCACCCUAGUCCCUUAUUUCCACGCCCCGACCUCUUAUCUCUGAGCCCCAACCCCUGUUCCCACUUUUCUGGAAGGUAAGAACCCCUGAACCCCUUCCCUCCAUUUCUCUACUCUCUUCUCUAGGCUUGCUUCCUUCACUAUGGGCAGCCUUCCAACCUCCAUUCCUCCUUCUACUCCCUUGGCCUGUGUUCUCAAAAACUUAAAACCUCUUCAACUCACCACCUGACUUAAAACCUAAAUGCCUUAUUUUCUUCUGCAAUGCCGCUUGACCCCAAUACAAACUCGACAGUAGUUCCAAAUAGCCAGAAAAUGGCACUUUGAAUUUUUCCAUCCUGCAAAAUCUAAAUAAUUCUUGUUGUAAAAUAGGCAAAUGGUCUGAGGUGCCUGACGUCCAGGCAUUCUUUUACACAUCAGUCCCUUCCUAGUCUCUGUGCCCAGUGCAACUCGUCCCAAACCUUCCUUCUUUCCCUCCCGCCUGUCCCCUCAGUACCAACCACAAGCGUCGUUGAGUCUUUCUAAUCUUCCUUUUCUACAGACCCAUCUGACCUCUCCUUUCCUCCCCAGGCUGUUCCUCACCAGGCUGAGCUAGGUCCCAAUUCUUCCUCAGCCUCUUCUCCUCCGCCCUAUAAUCUUUUUAUCACUUCCCCUCCUCACACCUGGUCGGGCUUACAGUUUCUUUCCGUGACUAGCCCUCCCCAACCUGCCCAGCAAUUUACUCUUAAAAAGGUGGCUGGAGCUAACGGCAUAGUCAAGGUUAAUGCUCCUUUUUCUUUAUCCCAAAUCAGAAGCAUUUAGGCUCUUUUUCAUCAAAUAUAAAAAUCCAGCCCAGUUCAUGGCUCGUUUGGCAGCAACCUGAGAUGCUUUACAGCCCUAGACCCUAAAAGGUCAAAAGGCUGUCUUAUUCUCAAUAUACAUUUUAUUACCCAAUCUGCUCCCGACAUUAAAUAAAACUCCAAAAAUUGGAAUCUGGCCCUCAAACCCCACAACAGGACUUAAUUAACCUCACCUUCAAGGUGUACAAUAACAGAAAAAAGUUGCAAUUCCUUGCCUCCUCUGUGAGACAAACCCCAGCCACAUCUCCAGCACACAAGAACUUCCAAACGCCUGAACCGCAGCAGCCAGGCAUUCCUCCAGAACCUCCUCCCCCAGGAGCUUGCUACAAGUGCUGGAAAUCUGGCCACUGGGCCAAGGAAUGCCCGCAGCCUGGGAUUCCUCCUAAGCCACGUCCCAUCUGUGUGGGACCCCACUGAAAAUUGGACUGUUCAACUCACCUGGCAGCCACUCCCAGAUCCCCUGGAACUCUGUCCCAAGGCUCUCUGACUGACUCCUUCCCAGAUCUUCUCGGCUUAGCGGCUGAAGACAGACACUGCCCGAUCGCCUAGGAAGCCCCUUAGACCAACACGGACGCCGAGCUUCGGGUAACUCUCACAGUGGAAGGUAAGCCCAUCCCCUUCUUAAUCAAUAUGGAGGCUACCCACUCCACAUUACCUUCUUUUCAAGGGCCUGUUUCCCUUGCCUCCAUAACUGUUGUGGGUAUUGAUGGUCAGGCUUCUAAACCUCUUAAAACUCCCCAACUCUGGUGCCAACUUAGACAAUACUCUUUUAAGCACUCCUUUUUAGUUAUCCCCACCUGCCCAGUUCCCUUAUUAGGCUGAGACACUUUAACUAAAUUAUCUGCUUCCCUGACUAUUCCUGGACUACAGCUAUAUCUCAUUGCCGCCCUUCUUCCCAAUCCAAAGCCUCCUUUGCGUCCUCCUCUUGUAUCCCCCCACCUUAACCCACAAAUAUAAGAUACCUCUACUCCCUCCUUGGUGACCGAUCAUGCAUCCCUUACCAUCUUAUUAAAACCUAAUCACCCUUACCCUACUCAACGCCAAUAUCCCGUCCCGCAACACGCUUUAAAAAGAUUAAAGCCUGUUAUCACUCACCUGCUAUAGCAUGGCCUUUUAAAGCCUAUAAACUCUCCUUACAAUUCCCCCAUUUUUACCUGUCCUAAAACCAGACAAGCCUUACAAGUUAGUUCAGGAUCUUCGCCUUAUCAACCAAAUUGUUUUGCCUAUCCACCCUGUGGUGCCCAACCCAGUACACUCUUUUGUCCUCAAUAACUUCCUCCACAACUCACUAUUCCAUGCUUGAUCUUAAAGAUGCUUUUUUCACUAUUCCCCUGCACCCCUUGUCCCAGCCUCUCUUUGCUUUCACUUAGACUGACCCUGACACCCAUUAGGCUCAGCAAAUUACCUAGGCUGUACUGCCGCAAGGCUUCAUAGACAGCCCCCAUUACUUCAGUCAAGCCCAAAUUUCAUCCUCAUCUGUUACCUAUCUCGGCAUAAUUCUCAUAAAAACGUACGUGCUUUCCCUGCUGAUCGUGUCCGAUUAAUCUCCCAAACCUCAAUCCCUUACAAAACAACAACUCAUUUCCUUCCUAGGCAUAGUGUGGUCAGAAUUCUUACACAAGAGCCAGGACUGCACCCUGUAGCCUUUCUGUGCAAACAACUUGACCUUACUGUUUUAGCCUAGCCCUCAUGUCUGUGUGCAGUGGCUGCCACUGCUUUAAUACUUUUAGGGGCCCUCAAAAUCACAAACUAUGCUCAACUCACUCUCUACAGUUCUCAUAACUUCCAAAAUCUAUUUUCUUCCUCACACCUGACGCAUAUACUUUCUGCUCCCCGGCUCCUUCAGCUGUACUCACUCUUUAAGUCCCACAAUUACCAUUGUUCCUGGCCCAGACUUCAAUCUGGCCUCCCACAUUAUUCCUGAUACCACACCUGACCCCCAUGACUGUAUCUCUCUGAUCCACCUGACAUUCACCCCAUUUCCCCAAAUUUCCUUCUUUCCUGUUCCUCACCCUGAUCACGCUUAAUUUAUUGAUGGCGGUUCCACCAGGCCUAAUCGCCACACACCAGCAAAGGCAGGUUAUGCUAUAGUACAAGCCACUAGCCCGCCUCUUAGAACCUCUCAUUUCCUUUCCAUCGUGGAAAUCUAUCCUCAAGGAAAUAACUUCUCAGUGUUCCAUCUGCUAUUCUACUACUCCUCAGGGAUUAUUCAGGCCGCCUCCCUUCCCUACACAUCAAGCUCGAGGAUUUGCCCCACCCAGGACUGGCAAAUUAGCUUUACUCAACGUGACCUGAGUCAGAUAACUAAAAUACCUCUUAGUCUAGGUAGAUACUUUCACUGGAUAGGUAGAGGCCUUUCCUACAGGGUCUGAGAAGGCCACCGCAGUCAUUUCUUCCGUUCUGUCAGACAUAAUUCCUCAGUUUAGCCUUCCCACCUCAAUACAGUCUGAUAACAGAUGAGCCUUUAUUAGUCAAAUCAGCCAAGCAGUUUUUCAGGCUCUUAGUAUUCAGUGAAAACUUUAUAUCCCUUACGGUCCUCCGUCUUCAAGAAAAAUAGAAUGGACUAAAGGUCUUUUAAAAACACACCUCACCAAGCUCAGCCACCAAAAAGGACUGGACACUACUUUUACCACUUUCCCUUCUCAGAAUUCAGGCCUGUCCUCGGAAUGCUACAGGGUACAGCCCAUUUAAGCUCCUGUAUAGAUGCUCCUUUUUAUUAGGCCCCAGUCUCAUUGCAGACACCAGACCAACUUAGACUGUGCCCCAAAAAACUUGUCAUCCCUACUAUCUUCUGUCUAGUCAUACUCCUAUUCACCAUUCUCAACUACUCAUAAAUGCCCUGCUUUUGUUUACACUGCCGGUUUACACUGUUUUCCCAAGCCACCACAGCUGAUAUCUCCUGGUGCUAUCACCAAACUGCCACUCUUAACUCUUGAAGUAAAUAAAUAAUCUUUGCUGGCAGGACUAUGCUGAAUCUCCUUAGGCACUCUCUAAUCAGAUAUCCUGAGUCGUCCCAAUUCUUGGACCUUUUAUACCUGUUUUUCUCCUUCUGUUAUUCCAUUUAGUUUCUCAAUUCAUCCAAAACCAUAUCCAGGCCAUCACCAAUCAUUCUAUACGACAAAUGUUUCUUCUAACAUCCCCACAAUAUCACCCCUUACCACAAGACCUCCCUUCAGCUUAAUCUCUCCCACUCUAGGUUCCCACGACGCCCCUAAUCCCACUUGAAGCAGCCCUGAGAAACAUCGCCCAUUCUCUCUCCAUACCACCCCCCAAAAAUUUUCGCCACCCCAACACUUCAACACUAUUUUGUUUUAUUUUUCUUAUUAAUAUAAGAAGGCAGGAAUGUCUAUCUGCUUGAAGUGAGGAGAACAUAUGUUGUUGAGGAAGAGUAAUUAUUUUUAUACACUAUGUAUAAUAGGUGUGCAAUUAAUGUGAAUGAAUGAAUAAAGAAAUCAAUGAAUGAAUGGAAUGAGAUUAUGUUUGUAGACUGAAUGGAAGAAGCCAGUGAAGAGGAAGAGACUGAAAGUAGAGGAAAAGAUGAGAGAAAUAACAGAGCAAGAUUCCCAAGUGAGAGUGGCAAACUCCUGGGCUUGAUCUAGAAUGCUUCUUAUACCCUACACAGG
RNAcentral lists this long non-coding RNA (5891 nucleotides) under Homo sapiens (human). RNAcentral's name for it is "HSALNT0194156". Lineage: Eukaryota; Metazoa; Chordata; Mammalia; Primates; Hominidae. The record is from RNAcentral.